GCUAUGCAAUAUUUUAACUAACUAAUAAUGUGGGUUAUUGAUUGAGAUUUAUCUCAGUUUUGUAGGUUUGUUUAUUUUCAAAUCAUCAAAAUUUACCAAUUAUAAUGUAGAUUUAUUUCCUAUAGUUAAAGCUAACAUCAAUUUUGAAAAAAAAAGCAUACAUCAAAUUUCUACUAACUUUUACCAAUCAUAUGAUUUACAUCCCCUAAACAUUAUUUCCCAAUUGAUUUACAUACAUGUCGUCACCACAAUCAUUGUCACAAAAGAAAAAAAGAUGACAUGUCACCAACCUAAUUGUGACAUAUAAAAUUUCCUUACAAAAAAUUAUAUUAUUUGGUAAGACUUUUUAAAUAUAGUAAUGAUCCAUGUUCGAAAUUUCGCUAGGUGCAACGCGUGCGGUUGACCUGGGCCUAGCGCCGAAUCAAUUAAACGGGGAUUAAACGGAAAUUAAUCGGCGCCUAGUUUUAAUACUAUUAUACAUUUAAUGUUAUCGAUUACCAAUAUAUAGCGUGUGGUGUGGUGGUUGAGAACGUUUUGUAAGACCGUGAAGUCGCCGGUUCGAAUACAUGUAACGCAUUUGUCUUUUUUUUUAGACUUUGCUUUAUUAAAUGAUAAUUACAUUAUUGCCACUGUCUCUUUCCCCAAUCUUUCUGCAACCCUAGCCGACUAGCCGUGUUUCUUCUCCAAAUACAGAUUGUCCUUCAUUUUUUUUUGAGUUUUCUUGAUGUUUACAGCCUAAAUUAGUCAAUUAAUUUCGAUUUUGGAGAUCUGGGGUCAAUAUUAUUAGAUUCAAACAGUUUGGAAUAGAGAAUUUGUGCGCUGAUUUCUUCAGUUCUACGUUGAACUCGGAGAAACGUCGCGUCACCGCCUGGCCACGCCGAUCAUACCCUUUUCGCUACGGUGGCCACGCGAGCAGCGCCUGUCAGGCCAAGAACUCGGUUAACGCGGCGCGUUUUCGAACACGGAUUAACGCCAUGAGUCAUCUCUCGAUCGCCAUGAGAUCGCUGAAGCUUUUAUACUCGCCAUGAGAGUGUAAACUCAUCGUAUACUUCAAGCUAUCAUACCUAUUACGGUUCUUUACAUUUGAUUCUUAGAGUUACAGAUUUGUAGACUAUCAUUAAACCUCUUCGGUUGAUGGAAGGAGUGUCUUCAUUGACAGAAUGGCAACCUGGAAGAUAUGAAAGAGUGAUAGGUUUUAAAUGUGUGAUUGGGAACUUAAUGAAACUCUGCACUGAGGUGUUUGUGAGAGCAGUUCAUGAAGCGAAAUGGAUGAACGAGAUGGAGGUAAGGUGUUUGAGUUUCAGUUUUCAGUUACUGUCUCUGUAUAGAUAGUUUAGGUAUAUAACCCUUAGUGUAGAGAAGACUGGUGUCUGGAUAGUUGUAUCAAGUGUUUUCGUUGCUUGCAAAUCACUUUGAUGGUCUGGAGUUUCAGUUUUCAGUUACUGUCUGUA
This is a long non-coding RNA of Brassica napus (rape), 1451 nucleotides long. RefSeq lists it as uncharacterized. The record is from RefSeq and is a predicted model, not a curated record. NCBI's taxonomy places the organism in Eukaryota, Viridiplantae, Streptophyta, Magnoliopsida, Brassicales, Brassicaceae. The transcript is spliced from 2 exons.